RNAcentral lists this ribosomal RNA (676 nucleotides) under uncultured bacterium. Its description in RNAcentral is "bacterial SSU rRNA". It matches the Rfam family "Bacterial small subunit ribosomal RNA", at positions 8 to 717 of the family's 1533-position model. The record is from RNAcentral.
AGAGUUUGAUCCUGGCUCAGGAUGAACGCUAGCGAGACGCCUAACACGUGCAAGUCGAAAGCCACUUCGGUGGCUUGGCAAACGGGUGAGUAACACGUGCUUAAUCUGCCCUAUGGUAAGGGAUACCUGUCGAAAGACAACUAAUCCCUUAUAUCUCCCACAAAAUGAAAAUAUGUGGAAGAAAGAUUUAUCGCCAAAGGAGGAGGGUGCGGCCUAUUAGUUAGUUGGUAAGGUAAAAGCUUACCAAGACGAUGAUGGGUAGCUGGUCUGAGAGGAUGAUCAGCCACAAUGGAACUGAGACACGGUCCAUACCCCUACGGGGGGCAGCAGUGGGGAAUAUUGGACAAUGGAGGAAACUCUGAUCCAGCGAUCUCGCGUGGAGGACGAAGCAUUACGGUGUGUAAACUCCUUUUCUGGAGGAAGACGACUGACGGUACUCCAGGAAUAAGGGACGGCUAACUACGUGCCAGCAGCCGCGGUAAUACGUAGGUCCCAAGCGUUAUCCGGAUUUACUGGGCGUAAAGCGUCCGGAGCCGGUUAUAUAAGUCUGCAUUCAAAUACCCAGGCUCAACCUGGGAAAGGGUGUCGAUACUGUAUAACUAGAGUAAGAUAGGGGGUAGUAGAAUUUCCAGUGGAGGGGUGAAAUCCGUUGAUAUUGGAAGGAAUACCAAAAGCG